This 478-nucleotide ribosomal RNA is filed under the name uncultured bacterium. Its description in RNAcentral is "partial 16S ribosomal RNA". It matches the Rfam family "Bacterial small subunit ribosomal RNA", at positions 28 to 523 of the family's 1533-position model. The record is from RNAcentral.
GACGAACGCUGGCGGCGUGCUUAACACAUGCAAGUCGAACGGUAAGGCCCUUCGGGGUACACGAGUGGCGAACGGGUGAGUAACACGUGGGUGAUCUGCCCUGCACUUCGGGAUAAGCCUGCGAAACUGGGUCUAAUACCGGAUAGGACCACUGCCUGCAUGGGUGGUGGUGGAAAGCUUUUGCGGUGUGGGAUGGGCCCGCGGCCUAUCAGCUUGUUGGUGGGGGGAUGGCCUACCAAGGCGACGACGGGUAGCCGGCCUGAGAGGGUGACCGGCCACACUGGGACUGAGAUACGGCCCAGACUCCUACGGGAGGCAGCAGUGGGGAAUAUUGCGCAAUGGGCGCAAGCCUGAUGCAGCGACGCCGCGUGAGGGAUGACGGCCUUCGGGUUGUAAACCUCUUUCAGCACCGACGAAGCGCAAGUGACGGUAGGUGCAGAAGAAGGACCGGCCAACUACGUGCCAGCCGCCGCCGUAA